This 921-nucleotide ribosomal RNA is filed under the name uncultured Bacteroidota bacterium. Its description in RNAcentral is "bacterial SSU rRNA". It matches the Rfam family "Bacterial small subunit ribosomal RNA", at positions 1 to 917 of the family's 1533-position model. The record is from RNAcentral. Lineage: Bacteria; Pseudomonadati; Bacteroidota.
UGGAUCCACACUUUGAUCAUGGCUCAGGAUGAACGCUAGCGGCAGGCUUAACACAUGCAAGUCGAGGGGCAGCGCGGAAGUAGCAAUACUUCUGGCGGCGACCGGCAGAAGGGUGCGUAACACGUGAGCAACCUGCCCGUGACAGGGGGAUAACCGACGGAAACGUCGCCUAAUACCCCGUAACAACAUAGGAGGCAUCUCCAGUGUUUGAAAGACACGUCAGUCACGGAUGGGCUCGCGGUACAUUAGCUAGUUGGCGGGGUAACGGCCCACCAAGGCGACGAUGUAUAGGGGUUCUGAGAGGAAGGUCCCCCACACUGGAACUGAGACGCGGUCCAGACUCCUACGGGAGGCAGCAGUGAGGAAUAUUGGACAAUGGAGGCAACUCUGAUCCAGCCAUGCCGCGUGAAGGAAUAAGGCCCUAUGGGUCGUAAACUUCUUUUGACGCAGAGCAAUAAGGACUACGCGUAGUCUGAUGAGAGUAUGCGUCGAAUAAGCAUCGGCUAACUCCGUGCCAGCAGCCGCGGUAAUACGGAGGAUGCGAGCGUUAUCCGGAUUUAUUGGGUUUGAAGGGUGCGUAGGCUGAAGAUCAAGUCAGCGGUGAAAUGUCCCGGCUCAACCGGGGCCUUGCCGUUGAAACUGGUCAUCUGGAAUGCGGAUGCCGUGGGAGGAAUGUGUGGUGUAGCGGUGAAAUGCAUAGAUAUCACACAGAACACCGAUUGCGAAGGCAUCUCACGAAUCCGCAAUUGACGCUGAGGCACGAAAGCGUGGGGAUCAAACGGGAUUAGAUACCCUGGUAGUCCACGCAGUAAACGAUGAUGACUAACUGCCGGCGAUACAGUGUCGGUGGCCAAGCGAAAGCGAUAAGUCAUCCACCUGGGGAGUACGACCGCAAGGUUGCAACUCAAAUGAAUUGACGGA